CAGGCCUAACACAUGCAAGUCGAACGAAGGCUUCGGCCUUAGUGGCGCACGGGUGCGUAACGCGUGGGAAUCUGCCCUUGGGUUCGGAAUAACAGUUAGAAAUGACUGCUAAUACCGGAUGACGACGUAAGUCCAAAGAUUUAUCGCCCAAGGAUGAGCCCGCGUAGGAUUAGCUAGUUGGUGAGGUAAGGGCUCACCAAGGCGACGAUCCUUAGCUGGUCUGAGAGGAUGAUCAGCCACACUGGGACUGAGACACGGCCCAGACUCCUACGGGAGGCAGCAGUGGGGAAUAUUGGACAAUGGGCGAAAGCCUGAUCCAGCAAUGCCGCGUGAGUGAUGAAGGCCUUAGGGUUGUAAAGCUCUUUUACCCGGGAUGAUAAUGAC
Molecule: ribosomal RNA, 384 nt
Filed under: uncultured bacterium
Lineage: Bacteria
Description: bacterial SSU rRNA
Rfam family: Bacterial small subunit ribosomal RNA
Source: RNAcentral